GAUGAACGCUGGCGGCGUGCCUAAUACAUGCAAGUCGAGCGAACAGAUGAGGAGCUUGCUCCUCUGACGUUAGCGGCGGACGGGUGAGUAACACGUGGAUAACCUACCUAUAAGACUGGGAUAACUUCGGGAAACCGGAGCUAAUACCGGAUAAUAUAUUGAACCGCAUGGUUCAAUAGUGAAAGACGGUUUUGCUGUCACUUAUAGAUGGAUCCGCGCCGCAUUAGUUAGUUGGUAAGGUAACGGCUUACCAAGGCGACGAUGCGUAGCCGACCUGAGAGGGUGAUCGGCCACACUGGAACUGAGACACGGUCCAGACUCCUACGGGAGGCAGCAGUAGGGAAUCUUCCGCAAUGGGCGAAAGCCUGACGGAGCAACGCCGCGUGAGUGAUGAAGGUCUUCGGAUCGUAAAACUCUGUUAUUAGGGAAGAACAAAUGUGUAAGUAACUAUGCACGUCUUGACGGUACCUAAUCAGAAAGCCACGGCUAACUACGUG
This 497-nucleotide ribosomal RNA is filed under the name uncultured bacterium. Its description in RNAcentral is "partial 16S ribosomal RNA". It matches the Rfam family "Bacterial small subunit ribosomal RNA", at positions 28 to 507 of the family's 1533-position model. The record is from RNAcentral.